Molecule: ribosomal RNA, 1349 nt
Filed under: metagenome
Description: bacterial LSU rRNA
Rfam family: Bacterial large subunit ribosomal RNA
Source: RNAcentral
AAAAAGUGGGUGAUCCUAUGCUGCCAAGAAAAGCAUCGACGCGAGGUUCAAGCCGCCCGUACCCCAAACCGACUCAGGUGGUCAGGUAGAGAAUACUAAGGAGAUCGAGAGAAUCGUGGUUAAGGAACUCGGCAAAAUGCCCCCGUAACUUCGGGAGAAGGGGGGCCACCCGCUUAUACGGACUUGCUCCGGAAAGGGUGUGGUGGCCGCAGAGACUAGUGGGUAGCGACUGUUUACUAAAAACACAGGUCCGUGCCAAGUCGCAAGACGAUGUAUACGGACUGACGCCUCCCCGGUGCUGGAAGGUUAAGAGGACCGGUUAGCCGCAAGGCGAAGCUGAGAAUUUAAGCCCCAGUAAACGGCGGUGGUAACUAUAACCAUCCUAAGGUAGCGAAAUUCCUUGUCGGGUAAGUUCCGACCUGCACGAAUGGCGUAACGACUUCCCAACUGUCUCAACCGCGAACUCGGCGAAAUUGCAUUACGAGUAAAGAUGCUCGUUACGCGCAGCAGGACGGAAAGACCCCGUGACCUUUACUAUAGCUUUGUAUUGGUGUUCGGUGUGGCUUGUGUAGGAUAGGUGGGAGACUUUGAAGCGUGGACGCCAGUUCAUGUGGAGUCAUUGUUGAAAUACCACUCUGGUCACUCUGGAUAUCUAACUUCGAACCGUGAUCCGGUUCAGGGACAGUGCAUGGUGGGUAGUUUAACUGGGGCGGUUGCCUCCCAAAAAGUAACGGAGGCGCCCAAAGGUUCCCUCAACCUGGUUGGCAAUCAGGUGUCGAGUGUAAGUGCACAAGGGAGCUUGACAGUGAGACUGACAGGUCGAGCAGGGACGAAAGUCGGGACUAGUGAUCCGGCAGUGGCUUGUGGAAGCGCUGUCGCUCAACGGAUAAAAGGUACCUCGGGGAUAACAGGCUGAUCUUGCCCAAGAGUCCAUAUCAUGGCAUGGUUUGGCACCUCGAUGUCGGCUCGUCGCAUCCUGGGGCUGGAGUAGGUCCCAAGGGUUGGGCUGUUCGCCCAUUAAAGCGGUACGCGAGCUGGGUUUAGAACGUCGUGAGACAGUUCGGUCCCUAUCCGCUGCGCGCGUAGGAAGUUUGAGAGGAUCUGACCCUAGUACGAGAGGACCGGGUUGGACGAACCUCUGGUGUGCCAGUUGUUCCGCCAGGAGCACCGCUGGUUAGCUACGUUCGGGAUGGAUAACCGCUGAAAGCAUCUAAGCGGGAAGCCGGCCUCAAGAUGAGACUUCCAUACCUUCGGGUGAGAGGCUCCCAGCCAGACUACUGGGUUGAUAGGCCAGAUGUGUAAGCGUGGCAACACGUGCAGCUGACUGGUACUAAUAAGCCGAUGACUCG